UAGGGUAUAGCGUAAUAGGUUAUCGCGUUUGCUUUGGGAGCGAAAAAUUGUAGGUUCGAAUCCUACUACCCUAA
RNAcentral lists this transfer RNA (74 nucleotides) under Gelidiella fanii. RNAcentral describes it as "tRNA-Pro". It matches the Rfam family "tRNA". From Rfam's summary of the family: Transfer RNA (tRNA) molecules are approximately 80 nucleotides in length. Lineage: Eukaryota; Rhodophyta; Florideophyceae; Gelidiales; Gelidiellaceae. The record is from RNAcentral.